GAUGAACGCUGGCGGCGUGCUUAACACAUGCAAGUCGAACGGGAAACCUUUUAAUGAAGCUUCGGCAGAUUUAGCUGGUUUCUAGUGGCGGACGGGUGAGUAACGCGUGGGUAACCUGCCUUAUACAGGGGGAUAACAGUCAGAAAUGACUGCUAAUACCGCAUAAGCGCACAGGACCGCAUGGUCCGGUGUGAAAAACUCCGGUGGUAUAAGAUGGACCCGCGUUGGAUUAGCUUGUUGGUGGGGUAACGGCUCACCAAGGCGACGAUCCAUAGCCGGCCUGAGAGGGUGAACGGCCACAUUGGGACUGAGACACAGCCCAGACUCCUACGGGAGGCAGCAGUGGGGAAUAUUGCACAAUGGGGGAAACCCUGAUGCAGCGACGCCGCGUGAAGGAAGAAGUAUCUCGGUAUGUAAACUUCUAUCAGCAGGGAAGAUAGUGACGGUACCUGACUAAGAAGCCCCGGCUAACUACGUG
RNAcentral lists this ribosomal RNA (478 nucleotides) under uncultured bacterium. RNAcentral describes it as "partial 16S ribosomal RNA". It matches the Rfam family "Bacterial small subunit ribosomal RNA", at positions 28 to 507 of the family's 1533-position model. The record is from RNAcentral.